Non-coding RNA from Prunus avium (sweet cherry), 687 nucleotides. Lineage: Eukaryota; Viridiplantae; Streptophyta; Magnoliopsida; Rosales; Rosaceae. The record is from RefSeq and is a predicted model, not a curated record.
AUUCUUCCUCCACUCUCCCCAGUCACUGCUCCGCCUCUCAGUCGUCGACGUCACAGCCGUUCUUCUCGUCGUCAGCGCCUUUGUCUGGUGACGCUCUGCAAUUGGUAAUAUCCGAAUGCAAACUGAAAGCUAAGAUUGUGGACCUUUGUCAGAAAGGUGAUUCAUACAUCAGAGAGCAAACUGGUAAUAUGUUAAAAAAAUGUGAAGAAGAAGAUUGAACGAGGGGUAGCCUUUCCAACUUGCAUUUCUGUGAACAACACUGUAUGCCAUUUCUCCCAGCUUGCAAGUGACGAAACAGUGUUGGAAGAAGGAGAUAUUCUGAAGAUGACUUUAUUAGAUUAUCAGUUGCUGUUUAUUGACUCCUACCAUUGUGGAGGCCUUAAUUUGUGCCCAAAAUUGGUUAAAGUCCGAUGACAUCUCUUCUUUAGAGUAUGAGCCAAGCAUUCAAGAGAUGGAGUUUUAUGAAUCGAUUGAGACAGAUCUUAGGAGGCCAUGCACACCAACCAAUUCAACUCAUGCAACUUUCCAAUGAGACUACAUGGUUGUUUGAGUGUGGUUUCUGUCUUGAGUUCAUCCAACUAGAGCAAAGCUUGGUAAACCUUGUGAUAUGAGAUUUGCUGCUCAAAUUUUUGGCAACUUGAUAAUGGAUGACAUAAUGGAGCCAAUUGUGUAUUUGUUUUGUGUAAU